RNAcentral lists this ribosomal RNA (501 nucleotides) under uncultured bacterium. RNAcentral describes it as "partial 16S ribosomal RNA". It matches the Rfam family "Bacterial small subunit ribosomal RNA", at positions 29 to 523 of the family's 1533-position model. The record is from RNAcentral.
AUUGAACGCUGGCGGCAUGCCUUACACAUGCAGGUCGAACGGCAGCACGGGUGCUUGCACCUGGUGGCGAGUGGCGAACGGGUGAGUAAUACAUCGGAACGUACCUUAUCGUGGGGGAUAACGCAGCGAAAGCUGUGCUAAUACCGCAUACGCCCUGAGGGGGAAAGCGGGGGAUCGCAAGACCUCGCGCGAUUAGAGCGGCCGAUGCCUGAUUAGCUUGUUGGUGGGGUAAAAGCCCACCAAGGCGACGAUCAGUAGCUGGUCUGAGAGGACGAACAGCCACACUGGGACUGAGACAAGGCCCAGACUCCUACGGGAGGCAGCAGUGGGGAAUUUUGGACAAUGGGGGCAACCCUGAUCCAGCAAUGCCGCGUGAGUGAAGAAGGCCUUCGGGUGGUAAAGCUCUUUUGUCAGGGAAGAAACACCGGCUCUAACACAGUCUGGGAAUGACGGUACCUGAAGAAUAAGCACCGGCUAACUACGUGCCAGCAGCCGCCGCGG